This 61-nucleotide transfer RNA is filed under the name Septifer bilocularis. RNAcentral's name for it is "tRNA-Ser". Lineage: Eukaryota; Metazoa; Mollusca; Bivalvia; Mytilida; Mytilidae. The record is from RNAcentral.
GUCAGUAUUUAUAUUUUGAUUUGAAAUCAAUAAUUUAAGUAGUUGUGUUACUUUGCUGAUU